This 272-nucleotide long non-coding RNA is filed under the name Homo sapiens (human). RNAcentral's name for it is "LHRI_LNC1848.1". The record is from RNAcentral. Lineage: Eukaryota; Metazoa; Chordata; Mammalia; Primates; Hominidae.
CUCCCGGGGGGUCCGGCCCGGCCGAGCCUCGGUGUCCGGCCCCGCGGGGGAGGGGCGCGGCCUGCGGAGCGGGAUCGGGGCCGGGUCUGGGGCCCCUCCCGGCGGCCUUCGAGCCCUGCCGCCCGGCUCCGCGCCGCCCGGAGCCCCUCGGCAGUCCCGUCACGUCUCCUCCAGAUUAGGCAUUAACUCGGGUGCAGCCGCACUUCCGGGGGGCCGCGGCGGGGGAGGGGCGCCUGCGGGAUCCAGACCCGCCCCCCACUCUCCUCUCCCCG